Molecule: long non-coding RNA, 852 nt
Organism: Micropterus salmoides (largemouth bass)
Lineage: Eukaryota; Metazoa; Chordata; Actinopteri; Centrarchiformes; Centrarchidae
Exons: 3
Source: RefSeq, a predicted model, not a curated record
UUAAAUGGCUUGCCCACGGACACUGAGCUUAACGUUACUUUGUAGUUUGCCAAGGCUGUUGUUGCGUUUUCAGCUAUAGUAGCGGGAGAGUUGUAAAUAUCGCUGCGUGGGAACGUCUCCUCCUCUCUGCAUGUUAGCUUCGCUGCAGCUGCAGCUGUAGCGCAAGUUUGCUAUUCCACAACUUAGAUAACGUUAGUUUCAUUACUUGCUGUGUAGUUGUUCGCUCUAACGUUAUAUCAUUUAUUUACUUGUCAUGGAAUUGGAUUUGUCCAGCAUCGCUUACCCACUUUCAGGAGUAUUUUUUGUAUCAGUGUCACGUUGGUUUUGUCACUGCCUCGCCCUUUUGGAGACUAGCGGUGGGUCCUGAGUGGGAGAAGUGAACGCGAACCCCGAACAGGGGCGUGGCCGCUUUGAUUGACAGGUGUCUCUGGCCUCUGUCACUCCUAGCCCAGUGACGGUUUAUUGGAGAGAGAACCUCCACGAAGUACGUGCUUCAAUUGGUGCCAGAGGAGCUGAUUGCAGAACCCUCCAGAUGUGAUUUGUCCCAGCUUCCAGUGACGCUCUUCAGCACCUGCUUUGCUCAGCCUUUUCUUUUUACUCACAACACCUGAACACCACUGAUGCGAAAUUAUGACACUGGGUUCUUAUCAUUAAAAUAGCUCUUACAACACUUAUUGACUUGUUUCAAGUCAUACAAAACAACUUUUACAUUUGUAACCUUUUAAUAUCGAUGUUUUCAUGAAUGCAAGACAAGAGUUUAAUUUGUUAAACUAUUGCUUGUGUAUUAGGAAUAAUUUGUUAUAAAAUUGAUCAGACUAAUUAUACUUAAAAUAAAAUCACAUUCUUCAUUCA